CCUACGGGUGGCAGCAGUGGGGAAUAUUGGGCAAUGGGCGCAAGCCUGAUCCAGCAACGCCGCGUGAAGGAAGAAGGCUUUCGGGUUGUAAACUUCUUUUCGCAGGGACGAAGGAAGUGACGGUACCUGAGGAAUAAGCCACGGCUAACUACGUGCCAGCAGCCGCGGUAAUACGUAGGUGGCAAGCGUUAUCCGGAUUUACUGGGUGUAAAGGGCGUGUAGGCGGUACUGCAAGUCAGAUGUGAAAACCACGGGCUCAACCUGUGGACUGCAUUUGAAACUGUAGAUCUUGAGUGCUGGAGAGGGAGGCGGAAUUCCUAGUGUAGCGGUGAAAUGCGUAGAGAUUAGGAGGAACACCAGUGGCGAAGGCGGUCUGCUGGACAGCAACUGACGCUGAGGCGCGAAAGCGUGGGGAGCAAACAGGAUUAGAUACCCCUGUAGUC
Molecule: ribosomal RNA, 443 nt
Filed under: uncultured bacterium
Lineage: Bacteria
Description: partial 16S ribosomal RNA
Rfam family: Bacterial small subunit ribosomal RNA
Source: RNAcentral